This 431-nucleotide ribosomal RNA is filed under the name actinobacterium SCGC AAA024-D14. Its description in RNAcentral is "bacterial SSU rRNA". It matches the Rfam family "Bacterial small subunit ribosomal RNA", at positions 353 to 796 of the family's 1533-position model. Lineage: Bacteria; Bacillati; Actinomycetota; Actinomycetes. The record is from RNAcentral.
AGUGGGGAAUAUUGGGCAAUGGAGGAAACUCUGACCCAGCGACGCCGCGUGCGGGAUGAAGGCCUUCGGGUUGUAAACCGCUUUCAGCAAGGAAGAAGCGAAAGUGACGGUACUUGCAGAAGAAGCACCGGCUAACUAUGUGCCAGCAGCCGCGGUAAUACAUAGGGUGCAAGCGUUGUCCGGAAUUAUUGGGCGUAAAGAGCUCGUAGGUGGUUCGUCACGUCGGAUGUGAAAAUCUGGGGCUUAACCCCAGACCUGCAUUCGAUACGGGCGAGCUAGAGUGUGGUAGGGGAGACUGGAAUUCCUGGUGUAGCGGUGGAAUGCGCAGAUAUCAGGAGGAACACCAAUGGCGAAGGCAGGUCUCUGGGCCAUUACUGACACUGAGGAGCGAAAGCGUGGGGAGCGAACAGGAUUAGAUACCCCCGUAGUCC